This 576-nucleotide ribosomal RNA is filed under the name uncultured eukaryote. RNAcentral's name for it is "SSU rRNA". It matches the Rfam family "Eukaryotic small subunit ribosomal RNA", at positions 203 to 790 of the family's 1831-position model. The record is from RNAcentral.
UAUUUAUUAGAUAACAGACCAAUAUUCCUCGUGUCUAUUGUGGUGACUCAUAGUAACUGAUCGGAUCGCAUGGCCUUGUGCCGCGACUAACCAUUCAAGUUUCUGACCCAUCAGCUUUCGAUGGUAGUGUAUUGGACUACCAUGGCUUUCACGGGUAACGGAGGAUUAGGGUUCGAUUCCGGAGAGGGAGCCUGAGAAACGGCUACCACAUCUAAGGAAGGCAGCAGGCGCGUAAAUUACCCAAUCCUGACUCAGGGAGGUAGUGACAAGAAAUAACGGGUCGGGGCAUUCGCCUCGGGAUUGCAAUGAAUCGAAUUUACACCCCUUAAUGAGGAUCAAUUGGAGGGCAAGUCUGGUGCCAGCAGCCGCGGUAAUUCCAGCUCCAAUAGCGUAUAUUAAAGUUGUUGCAGUUAAAAAGCUCGUAGUUUGAUUUCUGGACGGGCGCCAACACCCGCUUGUUUAGUGUGGAGGCGGCGCCCGCCCAUCCUUCUGUUAACGCCACCGGCAUUCAUUUGCUGGCGGCGGGCUCAGAUAUUUUUACCUUGAGAAAAUUAGAGUGUUUCAGGCAGGCUUGCG